Molecule: ribosomal RNA, 254 nt
Filed under: uncultured bacterium
Lineage: Bacteria
Description: partial 16S ribosomal RNA
Rfam family: Bacterial small subunit ribosomal RNA
Source: RNAcentral
UGGGGAAUAUUGCACAAUGGGCGAAAGCCUGAUGCAGCAACGCCGCGUGAGUGAUGAAGGUCUUCGGAUUGUAAAGCUCUGUCUUUUGGGACGAUAAUGACGGUACCGAAGGAGGAAGCCACGGCUAACUACGUGCCAGCAGCCGCGGUAAUACGUAGGUGGCGAGCGUUGUCCGGAUUUACUGGGCGUAAAGGGUGCGUAGGCGGAUGUUUAAGUGAGAUGUGAAAUACCCGGGCUUAACUUGGGUGCUGCAU